AGCUUUGCGCAGUGGCAGUAUCGUAGCCAAUGAGGUUUAUCCGAGGCGCGAUUAUUGCUAAUUAAAAUGGGAUAAUAACAGCACCCGUCUCCCAGGGCGAGCCUGCCUACCUCCCUGGCAGAGACUGUCUGGGCCUUCCCUGAAU
The sequence is a small nuclear RNA, 145 nucleotides long. Its record names the gene U4. It matches the Rfam family "U4 spliceosomal RNA". From Rfam's summary of the family: U4 small nuclear RNA (U4 snRNA) is a component of the major U2-dependent spliceosome. The structure of U4 snRNA from yeast and human has been reported. The record is from Ensembl.